Molecule: long non-coding RNA, 2459 nt
Organism: Branchiostoma belcheri (Belcher's lancelet)
Lineage: Eukaryota; Metazoa; Chordata; Leptocardii; Amphioxiformes; Branchiostomatidae
Exons: 5
Source: RefSeq, a predicted model, not a curated record
CUAAAGACUUCAAUUCUUUUUAACUAAAAGAUACAGUACUGAUUUGUGUUCUAUCCUGAUAGACAAAUGGACACCCAUUGUAUUAAUUCUGAAUGUGGUUGGUUAUUCGCGAUUUUUGCACUGAGCGGCCUUGGGGCAGGGUCGCUAGUAGGGUUAAUGUUGAACUUCACACAAGCAAAGGAUAUUUGUGAUAACAAUGGCUCCACCUGCACCUGUGUGACCAGACCUGAUAGAGGAUAUCAACGCUUACUAUUCAAGAGGGCUAAGAAACUGUGUAUUGCGGCGCAGAACAGCUCGACACUUACCAGGGUCAGCGAAGAGUUGACGUUUCUGCCAGAAGGGAUAGAGAUUGAAAAGCUCAAACUGGAAACCCAAGACAGCAAACCUGACUUCAGCCGCACCAACUACAUUCUGUGCUGUGCAGAAACAUCUGGGAGGGGAAUUAUACUCUCUGAUAACGAACCGGACCAACUUGGGGCCAUCAUAACGCACGCGGAGAAUGCCAGAGCCCACUGUGCAAUAUUGGUUCUUGGUACACAGGAUCCCGAGGAAGGAGAACUGUAUGACAAGUCUCAACUGGAUGUGAUGGUGCAAAGCCAAACAAAACUGCAGGCGUAUAUAGACGGGCGUACACUGUUCAGUUUCCGCAGUAAAUUACAUGAGGAACAAAAGAAUGCUAUUGUUAAUUGGCUUCACCACAGAGACUAAAUUUAAUAGAUGUUAUGCAUUGUACGUGUGGGUACUAGUGGUAUGUUCUUCAGGAGAAGUACAUUAUUUAGAGUGUGUUUUUAAUAACUUUGUCAGAUUUGCAUUGUGUUUCUGCUAUCAUACUUGUUAUCAUAUUGAUGGGUGCAUGCUCUAUCUUAAAGCUAACACAUUGCAAAUGGAAAUACAUUGUAUCUCUUAAACUGAAAUAUUUAAUCAUUUCUCAAAUAUUUGUUAAACCAUGGAGGUCGAAAAGCAAAAACGUAUUUCCCUGUAUGUUUGGUUAGUUAUGGCCGAUGUGACCUAUAUAUAGGCUCAAUGUCUUUCUCUUAUUUGCAAAUAAAGAAUGGUUUUACUUAUAUCUAAUAUGUCAUCUGAAAAUCUGUACACUUUGCAGACUAGUACUUCUACGUUUCUGUAACAGCGAUAACUUGGAUUCUAUUGGCUUUUGUAUUUGAAUUGUCAUGGCAGUACCCAAUAGAAAACCUCACGUCUAGUUCUACCCGCAAGAUGGCGCCAUUUCUAAAGCACGUGACAGACUGACUAUGCUAAUUUCGACAUAUUGGCUCAAGACGAAGGUUCUCGACAGAUUCCAAAAUGCCCGCCACACAAUGCUUCCACGGUGGCAUAUGUAUAUUCGCUUUCUCGUUUGUUACGUUGAUCUGUUUCGUCGUAGGGAUCAUGUUAAUAGAAAUGAUUGUUGGGGUAAUGAAACGCAAUACGUUGAACAGUGCUGGCAGCACUGUUAGCGUACGUAAUCGUGUCGGACGUACUCGUACAAAGAAGCUGUGUAUCGCCGCUAAAAACAACUCAACCCUUAAAAAGGUGAAUGAAAAAAUGACUUCUCUACUACACGACGAAGUAGACAUCGAACAACUGUGGCUACAAACCAGGAACGGCAAGCCAGACUUAGGGCGCUUCAACUACAUUCUAUGCUGUGCAGAGCAGACAUCUGGGAGGGGAAUUAUACUCUCAAAUGAUAACGGACCGGACCAGCUUGGGGCCAUCACAACACAAGCCAAGAACGCAAAUGUCGAAUGCGCGAUACUGGUGCUCGGUAAACGGGACGCUCCAAUCGGACAACUUUAUGACGAGUCCCAGAUGGAUGAAAUGACAAGAAACCAGCCAAGACUGAAAGAAUACAGCGACAAUAAAAGACUUUUCAGCUUUUGCAAUGACUUAAAUAGCGACCAACAGACGGCUAUCCGUGAAUGGCUAGAACUUAAAGCUCCAAACGUUCCUGAAGAAACUUGGUUGUAAUUACGCUCUGUAAAUAAUUCUGAAAUAGAGUCAAGCCCUGAGCAUUUGUUCGUCGGAGAUUAAUAUGAAUAUAUAUGAAUACAUAUAUAAGAUAACAUUCAAUUUCACGCGAUGGACACUGCUCGUAUAAAGUUUUUGCGACAAGAAUUUAUUUUGUAAUUUAGAGCGUUUAUAUCAUCCUACAAUUUUAUACCAAUCAUCAUAUCAGAAAAUGGAAACCCCGUGAUUCCUUUGUUAAGUAUUAUGAAAACUAUGAUUAUAUAUCAUUACUAGUAUAUCGUUACUAGUAUGUAACGUAGGUAACAAAGUAAAAUGUUAGUAAUAAUGUAAUGUGGAAAUUAUUGUGUAUUUUGUAGAGUAAGGAAGAAAUUAUAUUUAUGUUAAGUGACAUCUAUGCAAAAUCUAUGCAUCUAUGCAUCUCUGCAUGGUUCAUGGCAUAAUGCCACUUUGCUUUGUGUAAGACAAUUAAGCAUGACCCACAGAUAACUAUACCA